UCAUAUACUUCGGCCCAGAUGCCACCGAUGAUUCUUCUUACGAUGAAAAAAAUCCUUCAUCCAAACGUAUUAUCCGUGAAAUUCAUCUGAAUCUCAAGAACAUACCUCAAAAAAAUCAAAUCCAUACCCAACAAUCACCGGUGAACAUUUGCAACGGUGGAUGGCCUAAAUACUUAUUCCAUCAUCUCAUGGAGUGAUUCUCAUCUAAAGCUUCGUUGUUUAGGAUUAUCACAAAUUUUCCACUCAAGCACAAUAAUUCACAAGUUUUGAGAGCCAACUGAUCAGUAAAUCUCUUCAAUCUAUGUUAAAUUAGUGAUACUCUUUUGUAUUUUGUUUUUUCCCAUAUAGGUUUGUUUCUCAAUCUUUUAUUGGAUUUUUGAGCAACUGGGUUUAGUAAUACAUGUUCUAAUUAUGGAGUUUCGUUGUGUUUAUUUUUAUAUAUUAGUAUUCAUUCUGGAAAAGGUUAGAGGGAGUGGACUGAAUUUUUAAGGUUAGAUUCAAUUUUUUUUCCACUGAAAUUGUACACUACCUGUUUGAUGGAAUGACAC
RNAcentral lists this long non-coding RNA (548 nucleotides) under Panax ginseng (ginseng). Its description in RNAcentral is "long non-coding RNA (PGIN_LNC012485)". The record is from RNAcentral. Lineage: Eukaryota; Viridiplantae; Streptophyta; Magnoliopsida; Apiales; Araliaceae.